RNAcentral lists this ribosomal RNA (177 nucleotides) under Triticum aestivum (bread wheat). Its description in RNAcentral is "partial small subunit ribosomal RNA". The record is from RNAcentral. Lineage: Eukaryota; Viridiplantae; Streptophyta; Magnoliopsida; Poales; Poaceae.
AUGAAGAUCGUGAGCUGCCCCAUAAUGAAACCAGCAGUAUUCGUAAAUAUCCCCUUCUUCCCUAAUCCAAGAUUGGAGAAAGAAGAUCUAAGAGGGGCAUAUGGAGAAUGUAGUCAGAAAUAUAUAAUAGAGUCCAACCAUAACAACCGAAUUAAUUAUCCUCAUCGAGAAACUUAG